GAGUUUGAUCCUGGCUCAGGACGAACGCUGGCGGCACGCCUAACACAUGCAAGUCGAACGGAGAUAUUUUGGUUUACUGAGAUAUCUUAGUGGCGGACGGGUGAGUAACACGUGAGCAACCUGCCUCUGAGAGAGGGAUAGCUUCUGGAAACGGAUGGUAAUACCUCAUAACAUAACGAAGCCGCAUGACUUUGUUAUCAAAGAUUUAUCACUCAGAGAUGGGCUCGCGUCUGAUUAGAUAGUUGGUGAGGUAACGGCUCACCAAGUCGACGAUCAGUAGCCGGACUGAGAGGUUGAACGGCCACAUUGGGACUGAGACACGGCCCAGACUCCUACGGGAGGCAGCAGUGGGGAAUAUUGCACAAUGGGGGAAACCCUGAUGCAGCGAUGCCGCGUGGAGGAAGAAGGUUUUCGGAUUGUAAACUCCUGUCUUAAAGGACGAUAAUGACGGUACUUUAGGAGGAAGCUCCGGCUAACUACGUGCCAGCAGCCGCGGUAAUACGUAGGGAGCGAGCGUUGUCCGGAAUUACUGGGUGUAAAGGGAGCGUAGGCGGGAUGGCAAGUCAGAUGUGAAAACUAUGGGCUCAACCCAUAGACUGCAUUUGAAACUGUUGCUCUUGAGUGAAGUAGAGGUAAGCGGAAUUCCUGGUGUAGCGGUGAAAUGCGUAGAUAUCAGAGGAACAUCGGUGGCGAAGGCGGCUUACUGGGCUUUUACUGACGCUGAGGCUCGAAAGCGUGGGGAGCAAACAGGAUUAGAUACCCAGGUAGUCCACGCUGUAAACGAUGAUUACUAGUGUGGGGGGACUGACCCCUUCCGUGCCGCAGUUGACACAUAAGUAWYCCACCUGGGGAGUMCGYCGCAAGUUGAAAYUCAAGGAUUGACGGGCCCGCACAGCAGUGAAGUAUGUGUUUAUUCGAGCACSSGAGACCUASCAGGUCUGACMUCKAWUGCAUMCWWRA
RNAcentral lists this ribosomal RNA (960 nucleotides) under uncultured Bacillota bacterium. RNAcentral's name for it is "bacterial SSU rRNA". Lineage: Bacteria; Bacillati; Bacillota. The record is from RNAcentral.